RNAcentral lists this ribosomal RNA (427 nucleotides) under uncultured bacterium. RNAcentral describes it as "bacterial SSU rRNA". It matches the Rfam family "Bacterial small subunit ribosomal RNA", at positions 355 to 774 of the family's 1533-position model. The record is from RNAcentral.
UGGGGAAUUUUGGACAAUGGGCGCAAGCCUGAUCCAGCCAUGCCGCGUGAGUGAAGAAGGCCUUCGGGUUGUAAAGCUCUUUCGGCCGGGAAGAAAUCGUGUUCUCUAACAUAGGACACGGAUGACGGUACCGGACUAAGAAGCACCGGCUAACUACGUGCCAGCAGCCGCGGUAAUACGUAGGGUGCGAGCGUUAAUCGGAAUUACUGGGCGUAAAGCGUGCGCAGGCGGUUUUGUAAGACAGAUGUGAAAUCCCCGGGCUUAACCUGGGAACUGCGUUUGUGACUGCAAGGCUGGAGUACGGCAGAGGGGGGUGGAAUUCCACGUGUAGCAGUGAAAUGCGUAGAGAUGUGGAGGAACACCGAUGGCGAAGGCAGCCCCCUGGGCCUGUACUGACGCUCAUGCACGAAAGCGUGGGGAGCAAACA